UUGACCUCAGAUCAGGUAGGACUACCGCCUGAACUUAAGCAUAUCAAUAAGGCGAGGAACAGAAACCAACAGGGAUUCCCCUAGUAGUGGCGAAUGAAGUGGGAAAAGCUCAAGUUUGAAAUCUGGUGGGCUCGUCCCCUCAGAGUUGUAAGCUGAAGAGGCAUUGACCGACGUUGUCUGGGCCCAAUUUCCUUGGAACAGGAAGUCAUGGAGGGUGAGAACCCCGUCUGUGGCUCGGAGCCUUCGUCCUUGUGUCGUGUCCUCGAAGAGUCGGGUUGUUUGGGAAUGCAGCUCAAAAUGGGUGGUAAAUUCCAUCUAAGGCUAAAUAUUGGCGAGAGACCGAUAGCAAACAAGUAGAGUGAUCGAAAGAUGAAAAGUACUUUGAAAAGAGAGUGAAACAGUACGUGAAAUUGUUGAAAGGGAAGCGUUUGGUAUCAGCCCAUGGCGUCCAUUGAUCAUCCAGGCUUCUGUCUGAUGCACUUGAUGGACGUCGGGUCAGCGUCGGCUUUGCCUGCCGGAGAAAGGUCUUGGGAAUGUGGCUCCCUUCGGGGAGC
Molecule: ribosomal RNA, 554 nt
Filed under: uncultured fungus
Lineage: Eukaryota; Fungi
Description: eukaryotic LSU rRNA
Rfam family: Eukaryotic large subunit ribosomal RNA
Source: RNAcentral